ACCUGGUUGGCUCAGUUGGUAGAGCAUGUGACUACUGAUCUCAAGGUCAUGAGUUUGAGUCCCACAGUGGGUG
Molecule: non-coding RNA, 73 nt
Organism: Neogale vison (American mink)
Lineage: Eukaryota; Metazoa; Chordata; Mammalia; Carnivora; Mustelidae
Source: the annotation of a RefSeq genome assembly